GGUCAAGCGAACAAGUGCAUGUGGUGGAUGCCUUGGCGAUCACAGGCGAUGAAGGACGCGGUAGCCUGCGAAAAGCGGAGGGGAGCUGGCAAACGAGCUUUGAUCCUCCGAUAUCCGAAUGGGGAAACCCACCUCUUUUGAGGUAUCCGUAACUGAAUACAUAGGUUACGUGAAGCGAACGCGGUGAACUGAAACAUCUAAGUAACCGCAGGAAAAGAAAUCAACCGAGAUUCCCAGAGUAGUGGCGAGCGAAAUGGGACCAGCCUGUACUCUUUAUCUUCAUUGUUAGUCGAAGGCUCUGGAAAGUGCCGCCAUAGCAGGUGAUAGCCCUGUAGACGAAAACAGCGGGGAAGAACUAGGUGUACGGAAAGUAGGGCGGGACACGUGAAAUCCUGUCUGAAGAUGGGGGGACCAUCCUCCAAGGCUAAAUACUCGUGAUCGACCGAUAGUGAACCAGUACCGUGAGGGAAAGGCGAAAAGAACCCCGGGAGGGGAGUGAAACAGAUCCUGAAACCGCAUGCAUACAAACAGUCGGAGCCUCGCAAGGGGUGACGGCGUACCUUUUGUAUAAUGGGUCAGCGACUUACAUUCAGUGGCAAGCUUAACCGAUUAGGGCAGGCGUAGCGAAAGCGAGUCCGAACAGGGCGAUUCAGUCGCUGGGUGUAG
This 666-nucleotide ribosomal RNA is filed under the name Paraburkholderia fungorum. RNAcentral's name for it is "partial 23S ribosomal RNA". It matches the Rfam family "Bacterial large subunit ribosomal RNA", at positions 1 to 712 of the family's 2925-position model. The record is from RNAcentral. Lineage: Bacteria; Pseudomonadati; Pseudomonadota; Betaproteobacteria; Burkholderiales; Burkholderiaceae.